UGGGGAAUCUUGCACAAUGGGGGAAACCCUGAUGCAGCGACGCCGCGUGAGCGAUGAAGCCCUUCGGGGUGUAAAGCUCUUUCGGCAGGAACGAUAAUGACGGUACCUGCAGAAGAAGCUGCGGCUAACUACGUGCCAGCAGCCGCGGUAAUACGUAGGCAGCAAGCGUUGUUCGGAGUUACUGGGCGUAAAGAGUGUGUAGGCGGUUCGCCAAGUUCGGUGUGAAAUCUCCCGGCUUAACUGGGAGGGUGCGCCGAAUACUGGCGGGCUAGAGUGCGGGAGAGGAGAGCGGAAUUCCUGGUGUAGCGGUGAAAUGCGUAGAUAUCAGGAGGAACACCUGCGGUGUAGACGGCUCUCUGGACCGUUUCUGACGCUGAGACACGAAAGCGUGGGUAGCAAACAGG
Molecule: ribosomal RNA, 404 nt
Filed under: uncultured bacterium
Lineage: Bacteria
Description: bacterial SSU rRNA
Rfam family: Bacterial small subunit ribosomal RNA
Source: RNAcentral